AAUGCAGGGGAGAGGGCCUGGGCCUGGCCUUGCUGCUGGUCCCCUGGGGACUUCUGAGGGCCCGCGGGGGUCCCUGGGUCACAGUGCAGCCACACUGGCCUCUGGGCUCCUUUCAUCCACAGGCCGCCUGGUGAGCCCCGCAGCCUCACCCACGUGGGGAGGGGCUGCUGAGGCCUCCUUGCCUUUCUUGGUGGGCGCCCUACGCCUCGGGGGUCCUACCCUCCUCUUCUGUGCAGCCCCAACGUGGCUUUGCCCCCUUCUCCAAACUUCUGCCUUGGGCCAUGGGGCGCAGGCCGUGGGGAUGCUGUCUGCCUGCUUUAGAGAAACCUGGGGCACCGAUGACAAAUACAGGCUCUGCUUGGCCUGUGGGACGGUUGGUAAGCCCCCCACCUCUGAGACCCUGGGUGGCCACAUUCCCCUCCCAAGCUCCCCCGGAAUGGGGAUGCAGCCUGCCCCUUCCUUCCUCCUGGGCACUGUGCAGGCUUAGGGAGGAUGCAGGUGGCACAGUAGGCUGUGCCCACCCGGGGUCCCGGGACCCCAGCCCCUACCGCCUCCUCCUCCUCCUCUGAAUUCUUGGAGCCCUGUGGGCCUAUGUGGUGUGACGUGGCUUCCCCUCCACCCACCCUCAGCUCCCGAUGGCUUGGGGGGUUCUCCGCAGCCAGCGAGGCCCACAGCCGGCCUCCCCGGGUUCUGUCCUGCCCCCGACAGCAUCCUGGGCCUUCCGGUGGUGUCAGGAGACUCCAGGCCCUUGAAAGGCAGCUGCGACCCCGGGUAUGACUCGGAGAAGUCCAGGAGCAGGAAAUGGGCUGCAUUCCUUCGGGGCCCCUCCGUGCACCCCAGCCCCUCCCUGGGAGAGCUGCCCUGAGGUCAGGAAAGUGCCGUCCUGGCAAGACCCUCAGCAGCUGCCGCCCACAGGACAGUCAGCGUUUUCAAGCAUGGGAAGGAAAAUAAACACGAGGUUAAAAAGGGGUCUGUUGGCCCCGGGCUGGUUUGUUUUUCCUGUGUAAGGGAGGCAACGGGAAUGAGAACCAUCUGUGCCCUGAGCGCAGCGCAAGCUGCCUGCUGGGCCCACGUGCCCUCCCCCAAAGACCACAGAAGCCAGGCAGAGCCUUGCUCCCUUCCAGCCGGGGCCGUGGCUGCUGGCCGGCAGGGACAGUGGUGUUGGCUGGGGCACCACCCUCCUUUGCCACAGCCCUGGGCCUGGCUGCGGGCAGAGAACAGGCCUUCGAUUGAAGCUCCAACCUUCCGGGCCACCUCCUUUGGGCUUCGGGCACCUGAGCCAGCAUCCCAUUGUAAGGGCAGGGGCUGCUGGGGGCCCUGCCUGUGCCAGGCCUCAGCUCAGCCCUCUUUCCCCAGGCGCUGCUGCCAUCAGGAGGCCCACAGAGGGUCCACACCAACACUGUGAGCCCCUUGUGGGUCCCCUGGGUUAGUGGUGGGAGGCUGGUGAAGAGAAGUGGGGACAAAAGACAUUGCACAAAUGGUGGAGGGAGGGAGAGAUUUGCAGCCUCGUAGCUGUCAUUGCUGGGGGAGCUUCUCCUGGUCUCCUUCCUUGAUGCAGAGAGCUGGGAGCUUGUGUCCCUGGGCCGGGAGAGCCCCAACAUUAUAUCAGAACUUGUGGGGAAACCUGCACCCCCGAGGGCUCUGGCUUUGUUAGGCCGAGCUGGGCUAUGAGGCUGUGUGACCUGGCACAAGUUGCUUUCCCUCUCUGAGCCUCGGUUCUGUCACCUGAGGGCUGCCCGUCCCGCAAGGUGUGGAGGGUCACUGAGGCGUGGGGUUUCUGCGGUGCUUGUCCAUGUGCCUGGCACACAGUGGGGUUUGUGCAGUGCUUGUCCAUGUGCCUAGUGGCUCACAGUGGGGUUUGUGCGGUGCUUGUCCGUGUGCCUGGCACACGGUGGGGUUUGUGUGGUGCGUGUCCAUGUGCCUGGCACACAGCGAGAGCUGCUGGGGUCAUGUUGCUCUCACACUCGUGCCUGCCCCUGCUGGGCCCCUGCAGUGGGUCCUGGCUGGAUUGGGGGUACAUCCCCACCACACUGCACAGAGGGGCGUCUCCUCCUAUCCAGGGACCUGAUUCUCCUGUCGAGAAAACCUAUGAAGGGGACCCAGAGAUGGAGUGUGACAAGGCCAGGUGACAGGCCUGACAUGUGGUGUCCACAUCCAGAAGGGAGACCCUGGAGGGAUGACCCUCCACUGCCACCCCCUCCCAUCAGGCUCUGGACACCCUCGAGCCUCCCACCAUCCACCUUACCAGAUCCCCCCAAGAGUCCGGGAAGCUCACUCCCCCAGGGGACCAGGAGCACAGCCCCUUCCAUUCCUAACGGGCCUGACUCCCAAAGGGGGGUGAGGAAAGAAAAAGCCAUUUCACAUCGACUUAUUCUUCUGGCCCCAGGCAGCAGCACAGGGCGCAGGGUGGGCCUCUGCAGACACGAUGGCUCCGUGGUCAGGGAGGGGCCACCUCCCAUGUGCCUGGGGAGGGGCCCUCCCAAGCCCCUGCGUGGCAGCGCCAAGGGGUUGGAGUCAGCCCCAGCACACACAGGGCCCUGCUCACUGGUGGCCAUUGUCAGCGCCACCUCCACCUUCAGGAGCCUGCCACGUGCCUGCCCUCGGUCACUUAGCCCUCCCUGGCACGCACCACUUUGUCCACACACCCUGUGUGUAAGUGGUGACAGCGGUGACAGCUCAGGCGUCACCUGAUCGGGCCGACUCUAAGCCUUAGUCCUUCCUUGUCCUGUUGCGCCGGACAAGCCUCUGGGAGGCGACGGUGGGACAGCCACAGGGUUCUUGGCUCAGCCCCCAGGAGUGGGGAGCUGGGGCUCUGGACGGAGGUGGGCACUCGAGGCUGGUGUGGCCUCCUGGGUGAGGGCCAGGCUCGGGAGAGGCAGCCAGGCGGCCCCAAGCCACCCCAGGAACAAAGCACCAGCACACACCUCCACUGGUUUGCUAGGGCUGGGAGAAGUUGGAGUGUUUCUGUGGUGGCUGUGGCAGCCCACGGCCCCAAGACCCUGGCUUCCUUCUGCUCCCACCUUUUCAGGCCCCUUCCCCAACAAGCAGCUACUGUAGGACCCAGUGGGGGCUAGGGCACCAGCAGCUGCCAUUACCCAUGCUGGGUCCUGAUGGUUCCUGACCAGCCUCAACCGUGGAUUCCAAGCUGGGGAAGGAAGAAGCAGGCCGGGAGUGGGGAGGGAGACAGUGAAGGACACCCAAACACACACACACACACACACACACACACACACACACACACACACACAGAAGGAACAGUUUCAGCUUUGUUUCCCAGUAAUCUCACUUAAAAAGAACACUUGGGUUUACCAUGUUCACAUAAUCUCGUUGCUCUGAGAAUGAACUUAUUCUUCCUCCCAGCUUGGCCAUGUGUUCCUCCCCAUUGCCCAAGUCCCCUCAUGACAUCAUCUCCCACUGCCAUGUCCUUUCCUUGGGGACCUCCAAGUCCCUGGAGUUUGGGGACUGCAGGGUGGGUGGAGGGGCCCACAAGCUCUGCAGGGAGCCAGAAGGAAACGGUCUGUCCCACCCCAGGGCUGAGCACCUCGCUGGGAGAUGAUACCCACACCUGGAAAUAGCUCAAGGGCCGCGUGAGGCCGCACGACACCCACGCCAGUAUGAGACACCUGGCCAUGCGGCAUUCCUGGCCGACUGCUGGCAGCUGCAGACUUUGUCAGCCAGGUGAUGUCCCCGGGAUCUCUGGGCAGGCAGGGCACACAGGAGGCAGCUCACGCUCACUCAUCAUGGCGAGGCAGGUCGUGUGGAACUUCCUUGGUCUUCCUCAUCUGCGCCCCACCCAGCCUGGCAGAUGGUGAUGCUGUGAGUGCCAGGGAAACACACACACGCACACACACACACAUGCACACAUGUACAGACAGGUGCACAUGCCUGGGAGAGUCUGUGCUGCUCAGCUUCCGAGGGCAGCUCCCCAGGUCUCCCCCCGGGUCUGCGGUGGGAGGCGAGUCUUUUAACAUCAGCUCAAACCAAACAGGAUGAGGAGGGCAAAUCGGCCGUCCCCAGUAAAUCCUAGGGAGUCCCUCCAAGGCAAACAGAAAAUGCACCCCAGCUUUCGCUUUUAGGGGUUUGAGUUGCGAGUUUCCAGUCUGCGGAGUGCGAUGGCCGGGUGUAAGUCUGAAACCCUCUGGGGGAGAGAAGCCGCACAGUGCAGGGGUACACAUCCCAGAUCCACUCCCCAGCUGUGAGGCCCAGGCGCAUUCCGCGUUCCCCGCCCAUCUCCACCUCCGAGGGUUGCGGGAGGCUGAGCAGUUAGAACCGUGGCUGGCAUACGGAGGGCACUCGGUAAACGUGGCUGUGCUGAGCUGUGGGCCUCGAAGGAGUCUCGCGGGGCUGCUGUACCAAUGACCUUGCACUGGGUGGCCUAAAACAACAUGUGUUUCCUCACAGCUCGGGGGACCAGAGCUCAGAAUCUGGGGGUCACAGAGGAGGGUCCAUGCUCAUCCAGGUCAGCUCUAGGGGCUGCAGGCCACCCCUAAUCUAGGAUGGUCUUAUGUUGAGGUCCUUAAUUACAUCCACAAAGACCCUUUCCCCAAAUAAGUCCCCACGCACAGUUCCCAGGGACAGCCUCUGGGGCAGCAUCACCACCCACUCAGUCCUCCAUGCACCCCCUUGCGCUAUCACGUAACUUGGAUCAGGUCCACGCGUGUGGCUUUGCGGCUUUCCUUUGUCACAGCGUGUCACAACUGUUUUCCCGGGUGUCACUGCUGUGGUUUGAGUUUGUGUGUCCCCAGCCUUCAUAUGUUGGAACCUGAGACCCAAGAAGAUCGUUAUAAGACGUGGGGCCUUUGGAAGGUGAUUAAGUCACCAGGGUCCCCAUUGAAGCGCUUGGGAAGCCAUCGAGGCCCCCUCCCCUUUGUCCUCUCACCUUCCGCCGGGAGAGGACACAGCAAGAGGCACCCACUGGGAGGCAGAGAGCAGCCCCCACUCCCACUGAGGCUGCUGGCACCGAGACCCUGGACUUCCAGCCUCCAGAAGCGUGAGAAAUAAAUGUCUAUUGUGUGUCAAUGA
This 5022-nucleotide long non-coding RNA is filed under the name Homo sapiens (human). RNAcentral describes it as "non-protein coding lnc-CCDC187-2:2". The record is from RNAcentral. Lineage: Eukaryota; Metazoa; Chordata; Mammalia; Primates; Hominidae.